RNAcentral lists this non-coding RNA (43 nucleotides) under Trypanosoma brucei brucei. The record is from RNAcentral. Lineage: Eukaryota; Euglenozoa; Kinetoplastea; Trypanosomatida; Trypanosomatidae.
AAUCAUAAUACAGAGCAACGAUAACAGAGAGAUUUAGAUUAAU